Mycena metata is the source of this 91-nucleotide non-coding RNA. NCBI's taxonomy places the organism in Eukaryota, Fungi, Basidiomycota, Agaricomycetes, Agaricales, Mycenaceae. The record is from the annotation of a GenBank genome assembly.
GGUCAGAUAGCACAGUGGUUAGUGCGCGGACGCUUGAUGGUUCAAGGGCAAUAUUCCAUCCACUACCCUCGUUCGACUCGGGGUCUGGCCU